This 466-nucleotide ribosomal RNA is filed under the name uncultured bacterium. Its description in RNAcentral is "bacterial SSU rRNA". It matches the Rfam family "Bacterial small subunit ribosomal RNA", at positions 65 to 524 of the family's 1533-position model. The record is from RNAcentral.
AGCGGCAGCACGGGUACUUGUACCUGGUGGCGAGCGGCGGACGGGUGAGUAAUGCCUAGGAAUCUGCCUGGUAGUGGGGGAUAACGCUCGGAAACGGACGCUAAUACCGCAUACGUCCUACGGGAGAAAGCAGGGGACCUUCGGGCCUUGCGCUAUCAGAUGAGCCUAGGUCGGAUUAGCUAGUUGGUGAGGUAAUGGCUCACCAAGGCGACGAUCCGUAACUGGUCUGAGAGGAUGAUCAGUCACACUGGAACUGAGACACGGUCCAGACUCCUACGGGAGGCAGCAGUGGGGAAUAUUGGACAAUGGGCGAAAGCCUGAUCCAGCCAUGCCGCGUGUGUGAAGAAGGUCUUCGGAUUGUAAAGCACUUUAAGUUGGGAGGAAGGGCAGUUACCUAAUACGUAUCUGUUUUGACGUUACCGACAGAAUAAGCACCGGCUAACUCUGUGCCAGCAGCCGCGGUAAU